This 551-nucleotide ribosomal RNA is filed under the name Helicobacter pylori. Its description in RNAcentral is "partial large subunit ribosomal RNA". It matches the Rfam family "Bacterial large subunit ribosomal RNA", at positions 1627 to 2186 of the family's 2925-position model. The record is from RNAcentral. Lineage: Bacteria; Pseudomonadati; Campylobacterota; Epsilonproteobacteria; Campylobacterales; Helicobacteraceae.
CAUAUCCAUAGUCGUCCGUACCGCAAACCGACACAGGUAGAUGAGAUGAGUAUUCUAAGGCGCGUGAAAGAACUCUGGUUAAGGAACUCUGCAAACUAGCACCGUAAGUUCGCGAUAAGGUGUGCCGCAGCAAUGCGGUCUCAGCAAAGAGUCCCUCCCGACUGUUUACCAAAAACACAGCACUUUGCCAACUCGUAAGAGGAAGUAUAAGGUGUGACGCCUGCCCGGUGCUCGAAGGUUAAGAGGAUGCGUCAGUCGCAAGAUGAAGCGUUGAAUUGAAGCCCGAGUAAACGGCGGCCGUAACUAUAACGGUCCUAAGGUAGCGAAAUUCCUUGUCGGUUAAAUACCGACCUGCAUGAAUGGCGUAACGAGAUGGGAGCUGUCUCAACCAGAGAUUCAGUGAAAUUGUAGUGGAGGUGAAAAUUCCUCCUACCCGCGGCAAGACGGAAAGACCCCGUGGACCUUUACUACAACUUAGCACUGCUAAUGGGAAUAUCAUGCGCAGGAUAGGUGGGAGGCUUUGAAGUAAGGGCUUUGGCUCUUUAUGGAGA